RNAcentral lists this ribosomal RNA (607 nucleotides) under uncultured bacterium. RNAcentral describes it as "bacterial SSU rRNA". It matches the Rfam family "Archaeal small subunit ribosomal RNA", at positions 377 to 841 of the family's 1478-position model. The record is from RNAcentral.
GAUCCUGAGUGCUUAUACUAUGUAUAGGCUUUUGCCAAGAGUAAAUAUCUUGGCGAAUAAGUGGUGGGUAAGACUGGUGCCAGCAGCCGCGGUAACACCAGCGCCACGAGUGGCAACCGUAUUUAUUGGGCCUAAAGCGUCCGUAGCCGGUUUGAUAAGUCUUUUGUGAAAUCGUUGCGCUUAACGUAACGACUUGCAAGAGAUACUAUUAGACUUGGAACUGGGAAGAGUCAGAGGUAUUCUGAGGGGAGCGGUAAAAUGCUAUAAUCCUCAGAAGACCACCUGUGGCGAAGGCGUCUGACUAGAACAGCUUCGACGGUGAGGGACGAAAGCCAGGGGAGCAAAACGGAUUAGAUACAGCUUUUUGCGUUCGCAAAACCUGGGAAAAAUACCAGCGAGUACGACAUUUCAUUAGGAAAGUCGUACGCACACACAACUGUUGUUUUUGCUGCAAAACUACUGCAAUAUCAGAUGCGAUUUAUCGCAGAAAGCUGCUAAUUACCCGAGUAGUCCUGGCUGUAAACUCUGCGAGCAAGGUGUUACAUAUCCUUCGUGGAUAUGUGGUAUCGAAACGAAGGUGUUAAGCUCGCCGCCUGGGAAGUAUGGU